Molecule: ribosomal RNA, 253 nt
Filed under: uncultured bacterium
Lineage: Bacteria
Description: partial 16S ribosomal RNA
Rfam family: Bacterial small subunit ribosomal RNA
Source: RNAcentral
UACGGAGGAUGCAAGCGUUAUCCGGAAUGAUUGGGCGUAAAGCGUCCGCAGGUGGCUGUGUAAGUCUGCUGUCAAAGAGCGAAGCUCAACUUCGUAAAGGCAGUGGAAACUACACGGCUAGAGUGCGUUCGGGGCAGAGGGAAUUCCUGGUGUAGCGGUGAAAUGCGUAGAGAUCAGGAAGAACACCGGUGGCGAAGGCGCUCUGCUAGGCCGCAACUGACACUGAGGGACGAAAGCUAGGGGAGCAAACAGG